Eupeodes corollae is the source of this 840-nucleotide long non-coding RNA. RefSeq lists it as uncharacterized. The transcript has 3 exons. Lineage: Eukaryota; Metazoa; Arthropoda; Insecta; Diptera; Syrphidae. The record is from RefSeq and is a predicted model, not a curated record.
UCGCACAAAUUCUAACCUUAACUGUAUAAUAAGUGAAUUAAAAUAUUAAAUCUAAAACGAAUACAAUCAUUUUGCUCUUAAGGAUCGCACUGGCUUAACGGUGGCAAUCAUUCGGAGGCAAAUGGGCAGGCCCGAAAAGAAUCCCCUAAAGCCCAAACACAUUUAGAUCAGUCCAUCGGCAGCUACUGAUAAUGUCGGCGAGUUGAAUUCAUCGAUUUUCACACACAAAAUCAACAUCAAAAACGUCACGACAAUUCAGCGUGAACAAUCUCUAUCCGCAGCGAAAGUGUUUGUGUAUCAAGAGAUCUCUGCGUUGUGGACAAUGCGAACACAAUGUCAUCAAGCCGGAGUACCAUCCAGGAUCGAUCAAGUAUCGCAUGCAAUUGUUUGCUAACUACCAUGUGCCAGACGUUCUGCUUGUGCGUUGUGAAAAGCCACUGAAAUCUGGCACGUCCACUGAAUUGAUCCUCAAGCUAACUAACCCAACGAUGUACGAUGUGACCACAACCAUUAUGAAACUGCCACCCAAGGAAGAGGAACGGCGAAUGAUCGACUUGGAAUAAAAGUUCAACGGAAGGAACCAAAAUUCACCACUUGGAGAAAGUCCAAUAAAGUAACAAUCAAAUUGAACUUAACACCUGAAGAAGGACUAAGACCAGGCGAUGAUGUUACCCUUAGUUUCUUGAUGAAAUAUAAUUUUGUGAAUACAUACACACGCCCGAAAAGAAAUAACGUCAAAACACGCAUUAUCGUCGAAAGUUUUUGUAAAAGUUGGUCAAAUUGAAGCCUAGAUUUAUUUCUAUGUACAAUCUAGAAAAUAAUCUUUUUUGCAAACAACUU